This 253-nucleotide ribosomal RNA is filed under the name uncultured bacterium. RNAcentral describes it as "partial 16S ribosomal RNA". It matches the Rfam family "Bacterial small subunit ribosomal RNA", at positions 524 to 776 of the family's 1533-position model. The record is from RNAcentral.
UACGGAGGAUGCAAGCGUUAUCCGGAAUUAUUGGGCGUAAAGCGUCCGCAGGUGGCAAUGUAAGUCUGCUGUUAAAGAGUCUAGCUCAACUAGAUAAAAGCAGUGGAAACUACAUAGCUAGAGUACGUUCGGGGCAGAGGGAAUUCCUGGUGUAGCGGUGAAAUACGUAGAGAUCAGGAAGAACACCGGUGGCGAAGGCACUCUGCUAGGCCGUAACUGACACUGAGGGACGAAAGCUAGGGGAGCGAAUGGG